UGUCAUUGAAGUAGCCAUAUAUGCCUGGCUGUCACAGGUGGCUGAGCAGCAUGACACAACUUCUGGAGUCGUGGAGAAGGGACUCUGAAGAAGAACUCUGAGAAUGUGGGUGACAAUGAGUGCAUGCCAGCAUUUUGACCUUCUACAGAGUCCAGUUCACCUCCUCCCACUCUGGAGAAAGUCUGGGAUCUUUCCAGAGGAAUGGAAGAAGUGUUGCACGUUGCCCUUGAGUCCCUGCUUCAAAUCCCACUGUCCUGAGUAACCAGCCACAGCCUCCAGAGCCGCCGCACAGUACCUGUCGCAGCCCCUGACUCACCUGAACCUGCGCAGCCCCCCGACUCACCUGGCAGGGCCUGAGAAGCGGUCGCUGGAGUCCGCGCCUCGCUCUCGGACUGAGAUGUGUUGGUCCUAGCUGCUGUCUGAGAGGAUGUCUGGGGUGUCCGAGCCCCUGAGCCGAGUAAAGAUGGGCACAUUAUGCUGGCCUGAGGACCCCCAGAGUCCAUGGUGGUGGUACCAGUCGACGUGGAAAAGGAAGAUGUGAGCAUCCUCAAGGUUUGCUUCUAUAGCAAUAGCUUCAACCCUGGGAAGAACUUCAAACUGGUCAAAUGCACUGUGCAGACAGAGAUCCAGGUAAGCUGGAGACCUGUGCACUCUGUUUGUCUGUUCUGCCCUCUGCUUCCUGGACAGUUGAGCAGCACUCCUUCAGCCCAGCAGGCUCUCCUGUACUGCCUGGCAGAGGGAAGUUGGCAUCAGGAGAGAUGUUCUCAGCUGAUGUGGCCAAACUCCUCUUCAGGUGUGCAACUCCACUUCCCUAGGGGCUUGGGGGACAGAUGAUACAGCCUUGGUUUGAACCCCUGAUUGAUUUGUUUGGUCUUUGUUCAAUUUAUUUCAACUCAUUAAGUAUUUAUGACAUUUGAGUCUUUGCAAAGGAAUUAAAAGCCCCCUCAAAUACUCUCCAAUGGAAUUGGAAUUAGAGGCAUAUGCAAGUGAUUACAUUUUCAAAAAAAGCUAUCUAAGAUUUCUGCUGGACACUUAGAGGAUGGAGCUGGUGGGGCAUUUAGAGGAUGGUAAUGAGCUACAGAUGCCCUGGGCUAGAUGGGCAUCACCAGGCUCUUCUGCCAGAGCAAUAGCUCAAUGGGCUUAUUCCUACUUAGGGUCCUAAAAUCUGUUAACAGAUCCAGGUACCCACCUCAUCAAGGUGUCUAGACACCAGGAAUUCAGUUCAACUUAACUAAGUCUAUAUGAAAUUGUCAUUAAAAGCAGAGUUCCAAUAUACUGGCUGAUUUCACCACCUACAUGUAUUGAACAAUGGCUACAUGGGAGCGGUUAGGUGUGUCUUUCUAUACUCACGAUCUCAUUAAAUCCUCUAAUGGCCCCAAGAGAUGGAUUCAGUGAGGAGGCAUCUUUCCUCUGCCCAGAACAUUCCUUCUUGAUAGUGGAAGGGAAAGUCAAAUGGGUUCUCAGAAGGUUGCUUGGAAGAUUUGUGAUUUGAACAAGGAAGCAGGGAACUCGGAGGAAAGGCAUCUAUCCAUCUCUGGGGCAGCUGCCUGAGCUCUUCUCCAUAGCAUUGCCAACCCUUCCUGUGUCCUGAAAACCCAUGCCUCUCAACUCUGUGAGUGGCUCCUUUGGUUGGUGCUGUGGCAGCUUGGCCAUGUCGCCAUCCUGCCUGCUGUCUGUUACGGCAUGCACCUGCCUCCGCACACCAGAGCAGAGCGUAAUAGAUUAGCUCACUGUGUUGGCCAGUUACCAUUGCUGAUUCUGGCUCGGUUGACUCCUUCUGUUUCCUGUAACUGAUUUGAUUAGGGCCUUGAUUACUUGUCAUUUGGUUUCUGAUAUGGGAUCAUAAAUGUGCCUGAGUAUAAGCCCUGGCCCCCUUCUUCCAGGGGACGCUUUCCUAUCUUCUUAACUGUCCACUUCAUGAGUCUUCCUUCAGGUAUGUCAUUUUCAUACAUAGCUGAUGCUGUCCACUGUGAGCCUCACUAGCUUAAUUUUCAGAAGUUAACCUGAUCUUCAAGUUUGAGGAGCACCUCAUUGACCUUUUGUGCUGAGAAGCAGAGAACAUCUGGUUGGUUCAGCUUGGGACAGGUUUUAUGGAGUUAGCAGUGAGAAGGGCCCUGAAAGAUGGGUGGGAUUUAAAGCAGAGACUCUGGGGUAAGAAGGGAGCACACAGAGGCUGGAAGGCUGCUGGAUAGGGGGUAGUCUGGCUUGAUGGAAGCAUUGGAUUUAUUUAGAAAAUCAUCUCAAGUCAAGGCAAGGUGGAAAUUGAGGGCAGAUAAUGGAGGCCUAGAACAUCAGGUUAGAAAUUUGGAGUUGGGCAGGCACUGGGGAACAGCACCUAGUUUUUAAGAAGGGGGAGAGAGAUUUUCUUAGAGUUGUGUGAUGGCCUGGUGGGUGUCUAAGGGGAGGAAGAGCAGGAGGCCUACAGAAAGGGCAGUAAGGCCCAAGCUCAAGAAUGGCUACCAGUUCUGUGGACAUCAUCUGGAGGAGUAUUGGGACAAAG
Long non-coding RNA from Marmota monax (woodchuck), 2500 nucleotides. RefSeq lists it as uncharacterized. The transcript has 3 exons. Lineage: Eukaryota; Metazoa; Chordata; Mammalia; Rodentia; Sciuridae. The record is from RefSeq and is a predicted model, not a curated record.